GAUGAACGCUAGCGGCAGGCCUAACACAUGCAAGUCGAGGGGCAGCACGUCUUCGGAUGGUGGCGACCGGCGCACGGGUGCGUAACGCGUAUGCAACCUACCUCUUACAGUGGGAUAGCCCAGAGAAAUUUGGAUUAAUACCGCAUAGUAUACAGAUUCAGCAUUGGGACUGUAUUAAACAUUUAUGGGUAAGAGAUGGGCAUGCGUUCUAUUAGUUAGUCGGAGUGGUAACGGCACCCAAGACAGCGAUAGAUAGGGCCCGUCGAGAGGGGAGUCCCCACCACUGGUACGUGAGACACGGACCGAGACUCCUACGGGAGGCAGCAGUGAGGAAGU
RNAcentral lists this ribosomal RNA (336 nucleotides) under uncultured bacterium. RNAcentral's name for it is "bacterial SSU rRNA". It matches the Rfam family "Bacterial small subunit ribosomal RNA", at positions 28 to 363 of the family's 1533-position model. The record is from RNAcentral.